This 479-nucleotide ribosomal RNA is filed under the name uncultured bacterium. Its description in RNAcentral is "bacterial SSU rRNA". It matches the Rfam family "Bacterial small subunit ribosomal RNA", at positions 24 to 518 of the family's 1533-position model. The record is from RNAcentral.
UCAGGACGAACGCUGGCGGCGUGCCUAACACAUGCAAGUCGAACGGACGAGGGGAGCUUGCUCCUCAAGUUAGUGGCGGACGGGUGAGUAACACGUGAGCAACCUGCCCUUCGGAGGGGGACAACAGCUGGAAACGGCUGCUAAUACCGCAUGACACAGCGGGGAGGCAUCUCCCUGCUGUCAAAGAUUUUAUCGCCGAAGGAUGGGCUCGCGUCUGAUUAGAUAGUUGGUGAGGUAACGGCCCACCAAGUCAACGAUCAGUAGCCGGACUGAGAGGUUGAACGGCCACAUUGGGACUGAGAUACGGCCCAGACUCCUACGGGAGGCAGCAGUGGGGAAUAUUGGGCAAAUGGGGGCAACCCUGACCCAGCAACGCCGCGUGAAGGAAGAAGGCUUUCGGGUUGUAAACUUCUUUGACGAGGGACGAUAGUGACGGUACCUCGAAAACAAGCCACGGCUAACUACGUGCCAGCCGCCGC